RNAcentral lists this ribosomal RNA (302 nucleotides) under uncultured bacterium. RNAcentral's name for it is "partial 16S ribosomal RNA". It matches the Rfam family "Bacterial small subunit ribosomal RNA", at positions 508 to 809 of the family's 1533-position model. The record is from RNAcentral.
GCAGCAGCCACGGGAAUACAGAGGGUGCGAGCGUUAAUCGGAUUUACUGGGCGUAAAGCGUGCGUAGGCGGCUUCUUAAGUCGGAUGUGAAAUCCCUGAGCUUAACUUAGGAAUUGCAUUCGAUACUGGGAAGCUAGAGUAUGGGAGAGGAUGGUAGAAUUCCAGGUGUAGCGGUGAAAUGCGUAGAGAUCUGGAGGAAUACCGAUGGCGAAGGCAGCCAUCUGGCCUAAUACUGACGCUGAGGUACGAAAGCAUGGGGAGCAAACAGGAUUAGAUACCCCUGUAGUCCCUGUCUCUUAUAA